Molecule: ribosomal RNA, 514 nt
Filed under: uncultured bacterium
Lineage: Bacteria
Description: bacterial SSU rRNA
Rfam family: Bacterial small subunit ribosomal RNA
Source: RNAcentral
GAUGAACGCUGGCGGCAUGUCUAAUACAUGCAAGUCGAACGAAGCGCAACUAGCUUGCUAGUUGUUGCUUAGUGGCGAACGGGUGAGUAACACAUGAGUAACCUGCCCUAAACACGGGGAUAACUAUUGGAAACGAUAGCUAAUACCGGAUAGGUGAUUAGAAGGCAUCUUCUUUUCAUUAAAGGUCCGUUUGGAUCGGUUUAGGAUGGACUUGUGGCGCAUUAGUUAGUUGGUGAGGUAACGGCUCACCAAGACGAUGAUGCGUAGCCGGCCUGAGAGGGUGAUCGGCCACAUUGGAACUGAGAUACGGUCCAAACUCCUACGGGAGGCAGCAGUAGAGAAUUUUCGGCAAUGGGGGAAACCUUGACCGAGCAAUGCCGCGUGAGUGAAGAAGGCCUUAGGGUUGUAAAGCUCUGUUGUAAGGGAAGAACAAGUAGGAGAGGAAAUGCUCCUACCCUGACGGUACCUUACCAGAAAGCCACGGCUAACUACGUGCCAGCAGCCGCAGUAAUAC